This 446-nucleotide ribosomal RNA is filed under the name uncultured bacterium. RNAcentral's name for it is "partial 16S ribosomal RNA". It matches the Rfam family "Bacterial small subunit ribosomal RNA", at positions 338 to 795 of the family's 1533-position model. The record is from RNAcentral.
CCUACGGGAGGCAGCAGUCGAGAAUCAUUCACAAUGGGGGAAACCCUGAUGGUGCGACGCCGCGUGGGGGAAUGAAGGUCUUCGGAUUGUAAACCCCUGUCAUGUGGGAGCAAAUUAAAAAGAUAGUACCACAAGAGGAAGAGACGGCUAACUCUGUGCCAGCAGCCGCGGUAAUACUGAGGUCUCAAGCGUUGUUCGGAAUCACUGGGCGUAAGGCGUGCGUAGGCUGUUUCGUAAGUCGUGUGUGAAAGGCGCGGGCUCAACCCGCGGACGGCACAUGAUACUGCGAGACUAGAGUAAUGGAGGGGGAACCGGAAUUCUCGGUGUAGCAGUGAAAUGCGUAGAUAUCGAGAGGAACACUCGUGGCGAAGGCGGGUUCCUGGACAUUAACUGACGCUGAGGCACGAAGGCCAGGGGAGCGAAAGGGAUUAGAUACCCCUGUAGUC